AGUGAACGCUGGCGGUAGGCCUAACACAUGCAAGUCGAACGGCAGCACAGUAAGAGCUUGCUCUUACGGGUGGCGAGUGGCGGACGGGUGAGGAAUACAUCGGAAUCUACUUUUUCGUGGGGGAUAACGUAGGGAAACUUCCGCUAAUACCGCAUACGACCUACGGGUGAAAGCAGGGGAUCUUCGGACCUUGCGCGAUUGAAUGAGCCGAUGUCGGAUUAGCUAGUUGGCGGGGUAAAGGCCCACCAAGGCGACGAUCCGUAGCUGGUCUGAGAGGAUGAUCAGCCAGACUGGAACUGAGACAGGGUCCAGACUCCUACGGGAGGCCGCGGUGGGGAAUAUUGGACAAUGGGCGAAAGCCUGAUCCAGCCCUACCGCGUGGGUGAAGAAGGCCUUCGGGUUGUAAAGCCCUUUUGUUGGGAAAGAAAAGCAGCAGUUUAAUCCCCCGCUGUUCUGACGGUACCCAAAGAAUAAGCACCGGCUAACUUCGUG
RNAcentral lists this ribosomal RNA (492 nucleotides) under uncultured bacterium. RNAcentral describes it as "partial 16S ribosomal RNA". It matches the Rfam family "Bacterial small subunit ribosomal RNA", at positions 29 to 507 of the family's 1533-position model. The record is from RNAcentral.